UGCUCUGCGCUCUGUAGGCCCCUCAAGAUUUAUGGGCCUUGAGCUCUCUGAAGCUGUAAACAAGGAGAAAAAAAAGAGAAAGCGAGAGAGACUGGGGGAAAGAGACAGAGGCCUGACUCGCCCCUCCAGAUUGUGGGAGAGAAGGGAUUCAUACGUAUUUUCUUUGCCUUGCGAUCUCGGUGCGUGUGGGUUUUGGCAUCGGUCUGGGGGUGGUGUUCUGCCUGAAUGCUGGUGCGCGUGGGUAGCGUGCUGUUUGUGUGCUGGGGGAUAGGAGAACGCCUGCCUCAUUUGAAUGGCUGUGCAGGGGCCCGAACCUAAGAGGCAUUUGUGGGUAUAUACAUGUGAGUGUGUGCACCGUGUUAGGUGUGUGUGUCUGUGCGGUCCCCAUUCACUUGUGACAGACAGGCCUCCCUCUGAGCCAGGCUGUUGUCCCUUGAACCCGAUGAACAAAUCUCUAACAAUCAUAAUAACAAUAAAUAACAAUAAUAAAAGCAGUAGUUCAGAGUUCCACCCUAGUAGGAUAACAAUAAAAUGCCCAGGAGAUAUUUGGAGGAGGGGGCAGAGGAAGGGGUCACUAUCACAGGAUCUCAGAUGAAGACUAGAAAGGAAGUUAGCUUCUUUAAAUGCCCUGGGGGGCUGGCGCUGGGAAUCCCCUCCCUAGACGGAGCCCUCUGACCAGAGGAGGAGAGGAAGAGCCAGGAGGCCACUCUUUCCUGCUUCUUUUUCAAUGUCUUUUGCUUUGAACGAGAAGGAAAGGGAUCCCACUUACAGGGUGGUUAGUAGCUUUGGGGACUCUCUGGGAUCCCCUGUCUUAAUGAGAAGGCCAAAGGUGCAGGGUCAGGCCAAAGGACCGAGUUAAAUGAAGCUCUGAGCGCAGCCUCGAUCCCCGCAGCCCGGGCGGCAGAGGUGCCCAGGAGGACUAGCCGCGGGGCCGGGCGGGAAGCAGAAAAAUAUUUAUGGCCGCCCGGGCCAGGAGAGUGGGGAGAACUGGAGAGCGAAGGAAGCCGGGGUUUCUGCAGGCCCAGGGAAAGUUCCCUUCCUAGAGUCUUUUUUAAAAGAAGACGAAGGGAAGAGUUGAAGCGCCUUGAAUUUUCCUUCGGGAGCGUGGAGCCAAGCGGAUUUCCGCAAAGGAAGCGAAGACCACAGUCCAGGGUCCUGCAGUGUCCACCUCAUUCUCUCCAGGCCUCUCCACUUGCGCAGCUCUCAGCCACCCGGAGAUGACCGAAGGGGCUUCUGGGCUGCGUUGGGAGCUGACACUGCCCCCCGCCCAUUCCAGCUUGGUUUCCUAAAGUCCAGCGACCUCCAACCCUCCUUGGGGGAAAAAUUACCAGCACCCAGGCACAUUAGCCCCCUGUCCUGUGUGACCUGGUUCCCUUCAGAAAUAUUUUACCACGAAGAAGAAAGAACAGCUUGGAGCCCUGUUUACAUCUAGUUCUACUGAUCCAUUCACAUCUGGAGGGUUUAUUUAUAACACCCUCUAUAACUCUCUCUGUUUGGAAGCAGUGGUGGCUCUAUUGACAGACUGAUGUCUACAAAAUAUUGCUCUAUCUCUAACCAUACCUAAAUGUGCUGUGGUUGUAUUUACAGAUUUAUGCUUGAGGAAAAUAUAAUUAUUUCCAUUGUAUUUGUGCAUAUACAAUAGUUAUAGGAGCAGAUUUAUAUAUGGGAAAAUAUACGACUCUCUUAUAGCCAUACAGCUUUAUGGACAUUUGAUAUUCUGACAGAUUUAUAUCCCUGAGCAGCUAUAUAGAUAAAUGUAUAUCGUUAGAAUUAUGUAUCAGCAGAUAUAUACUUAUUGAUUGUGAUAUAGAGUAGUUAGAGCAUUCACUUAGAGACAUAUAUGGCUAUGGAGAUAUUUCUAUAUUAUUAUCACUAUAUAUAGGCAUAUCUAUUUAUAACCACAUAGUUAUAAAAAUAGACAUAAGUAAUUAUAGUCCUAUAUGUACAUGCUGCUAUCUCUCUAGAGUUAUAGACACUUUUGAAUAUAACUCUAUAGAGAUAUCCAUAUGUAUAUAAGGUGUAAUUAUCUCCUGAUGUGUGUGUGUUGGGACUUAGGCCAGUCUAUCUCUGAAUAGACAUAUUUAUGUGUAGGGGCUGGGAGAGACUUGUUCAGCAAGAUAACUGCAGAGGGCCAUCUGUAUCUGGCCAUCUAGGAAACUUGCUAGCAGAGUUCUUUAUUCAAGGAGGGAUGAAAUUACAAAAGGAUAAACAGAGCAUAGGAAGUGCCCAGGAGGGGAGGGAAAUGGAGGGUGAUGGGGCUCCCAGGAACAGAUAGACCGGGAGGAACAGGGUAAACACUGGGCACUCACCAGAAGGUGACAGCCGAUUUUGUGAAGGGCUGGCUGUGGACAGGUGUGGACCCUGUUACAAAGGGUGAACACUCCUACCACCCCACUGGGAGGCACCCUCCACUGAGGGAGCAGCCUCCUGUUAGACAUUUAGUGCACCAAAGGUUAACUUUAUUCUUAGCUCUUUUCUCUCGAACCCUAAUUUUUGAAAGAGUGGGCUUCAAACUGGCACGGUGGUGCAGGCCCGUCAUCCCAGUGACUAGAGAGGUUGAGGCAGGAAGAUCACAAGUUGGAGACCAGCCUAGACAAAUUAAUUACUGAGAUCCUGCCUCAAAAUAGAAAAUAAUUUUGAAGCUAUAGCUCAGUGGUGAAGUUCCUGGUUUUAAUUCCUAGUGAAAGAGGGAAGGGGGAGAAAUGUUGAUGAAGGGUGAAGAGGUAUGGGAGGCACUGGGCAAGGAGGGGAGUGUACUUUUGCCACCACUGCUUUCUGGUAAUGCAGCCAGGAAAUUGAGGCAAUCUGGUCAAAUAAAGCUUGCUUUUAUGGGA
Long non-coding RNA from Ictidomys tridecemlineatus (thirteen-lined ground squirrel), 2834 nucleotides. RefSeq lists it as uncharacterized. The record is from RefSeq and is a predicted model, not a curated record. Lineage: Eukaryota; Metazoa; Chordata; Mammalia; Rodentia; Sciuridae.